GUCCACGCGGUAAACGAUGGGCACUAGGUGUGGGGGGUAUCCACUCCUCCCGUGCCGAAGCUAACGCAUUAAGUGCCCCGCCUGGGGAGUACGGCCGCAAGGUUAAAACUCAAAGGAAUUGACGGGGGCCCGCACAAGCGGUGGAGCAUGUGGUUUAAUUCGACGCAACGCGAAGAACCUUACCUGGGCUUGACAUCCCUGGAACUCCCUGGAAACAGGGAGGUGCCCUCGAAAGAGUGAGCCAGGAGACAGGUGCUGCAUGGCUGUCGU
RNAcentral lists this ribosomal RNA (270 nucleotides) under uncultured bacterium. Its description in RNAcentral is "partial 16S ribosomal RNA". It matches the Rfam family "Bacterial small subunit ribosomal RNA", at positions 793 to 1055 of the family's 1533-position model. The record is from RNAcentral.